Molecule: ribosomal RNA, 498 nt
Filed under: uncultured bacterium
Lineage: Bacteria
Description: partial 16S ribosomal RNA
Rfam family: Bacterial small subunit ribosomal RNA
Source: RNAcentral
AUUGAACGCUGGCGGCAUGCCUUACACAUGCAAGUCGAACGGUAACAGGUCUUCGGAUGCUGACGAGUGGCGAACGGGUGAGUAAUACAUCGGAACGUGCCCGAUCGUGGGGGAUAACGAAGCGAAAGCUUUGCUAAUACCGCAUACGAUCUACGGAUGAAAGCAGGGGACCGCAAGGCCUUGCGCGAACGGAGCGGCCGAUGGCAGAUUAGGUAGUUGGUGGGAUAAAAGCUUACCAAGCCGACGAUCUGGAGCUGGUCUGAGAGGACGACCAGCCACACUGGGACUGAGACACGGCCCAGACUCCUACGGGAGGCAGCAGUGGGGAAUUUUGGACAAUGGGCGAAAGCCUGAUCCAGCCAUGCCGCGUGCAGGAUGAAGGCCUUCGGGUUGUAAACUGCUUUUGUACGGAACGAAAAGACUCUGGUUAAUACCUGGGGUCCAUGACGGUACCGAAAGAAUAAGCACCGGCUAACUACGUGCCAGCCGCCGCCGUAA